Long non-coding RNA from Leopardus geoffroyi (Geoffroy's cat), 2053 nucleotides. RefSeq lists it as uncharacterized. NCBI's taxonomy places the organism in Eukaryota, Metazoa, Chordata, Mammalia, Carnivora, Felidae. The record is from RefSeq and is a predicted model, not a curated record. The transcript is spliced from 4 exons.
GGGCUCGAACUCACAGACCGCGAGAUCGUGACCUGGCUGAAGUCGGACGCUCAACCGACUGCGCCACCCAGGCGCCCCACACAGUAGCUUUAUUUCUAAUAGCCCUACACUGGAAACAACUGAAAGGUCCAGCAACAGUUAGGAAGAUAGGCACAUUAUUAUGUAUCUAUGCCAUGGAAUAUCAUUCAGUCAUAAAAGGAGAUUACACAUAUUGAUGCAUGUAAUAAUGUGGAUAAAUCUCAAAAUGAUUAUGUUGAGUAAAGGAAGCCAGACACAAAAAUGUAUAUACCGUGGGUUCCAUUUAUAUGAAAUUGUAAAACAGACCAUGCUAAUUUAUGGUGAUGGAAAUCGGAAUGGUGUUUGCCUCUGUGAAUGGUGGGAAUUGACUGGACAGGAUUCCAUUGAACUUCCUAGGGUGAUGGCAGUAUUCUAUAUUUUGAUUGAGGUAGUGAGUACACCCAGUGUAUACAAUGAUCAAAGUCAUAACAGAAUGCUUAAUGUCUGUGCAGCCCUUUUAUUGUAUAAUGUAAAUUAUACCUUCAGUCUUAAAAAUGUUUUCCUCAGCAGGACUCUUGAAGAAGUGACGGCCUUCUUCCCUCAUCAUCUCCACCCUGGGUACACUCUUGUUCUGAAUCUCUUAGUACUCUACCUCUCUGGCCCGCACUUACACUUGAGUACCAAUGACUUUUAUAGGCUCAUGUCUUAGCUCCCCAGUAGGUGAAAGCAUCCUACAACAAAGUUAUGAUUGUGUUACUUCACUAUUCUUUACAACAAUGGUUGUCAACCUAGGCUGCAUAAUGUUAGACUCUCCCUGUGCCUUGGCUUGGGCCGCCAUAACAAAAUGCCAUAGACGAGGUGGCUGAAACAACACAGAUUUAUUUUCUUACAGUUCUAGGAGCUGGAAGUCUGGGAUCAGGGUGCCAGCCUAUCUGGGUUCCUCUUGUUGGCUUGCAGAUGGCCGUCUUCUCACUGUGUCUCACAGCUCUCUGGUAUCUGUUCUUACAAGGAUACUAGUCCCAUCAUGAGGGCUCUGCCCUCAUGAUAUCAUUUAAAUCUAAUUACCUCCCAAAAGCCUUGUCUCCAGAUACCAUCACAUAAGGGAUGAGGGUUUUAACAUAUGAAUUUGGGGGAACACAUUCAGUCCUUACCACUUGGGAAACGUUAAAAAAUCAUCUCCAGACGUUCUCAUACAGUUGAUGUGAAUUGGAACCUGGACAUGUAUAUUUCUCUGAGGUUCCUCUAUAAUGUGCACCCAGGAUUGGUGACCGUUGCUUUCUACCUUCCUGUUCAAGGUGAGGUCUAGGAAAUAGCAGCGACAGCAUCACCUGGGACCUUCUUAAAAAUGCAAGAUCUCUGGUCCCAUCCCAGGCCUGUGAAUCCGACUCUGCGUGGUAACAGUAUCCCCUGUUGAUUCGUAAAGUCUGAAAAACACUGGUCUGCAGCCCCUUGCAUCGACUUGCAUACAGGUAUGAGAAUGCUCCAUCAAUCAUUUCCUGUUUGAAUUCAAGAUGAACAUUUUGUCAGCGAACUGAAUUUCACCUUUUCUCAUCUCGGAAGCCUGUCAAGUUGUGGAUCUUGCCUACAAAUAAUUGCACCGCCGUGUAAAGAUUUCAUAUAUAGCCUAUAUAUCAUUGUCUAUUAGCAAACAAAAAAGCAGCAAAUAGACCCAACAUUAAAAACAAAAUCUUAAUGUUUUUGAAAAUAUACGACCAUCCCAGCGAUUCCAUCACAAUGAAUGAUGACCUCCUUAGCUUCAGGUGGAAGCAAAUCAAGUACUUUCUUGUACCUUGAUAUUUUUCACUUAGGUAACUCCAGAACGGAACAUAGAGGUCCUGCUUUAGUUUUAGUGCUGCAUAGUAUUUCAGGACAGCAGCUUAUCCAUCAAUAAGGAUCCCAUCCUCUCUCGAAAACAAAUCGAUUGAUCAUGUCAAAAGAUCUCAGCGGCUGGUCGUAGGGUAAAAUGUGCCCUCCACCUCGAACAAUUACCUUGGAGAAGAAAAGUAAAAGAGAGAGACAGAGCGUGAGCAGGGGAGGGGCAGAGAGAGAGGGAGAC